CCCAGUAACCCCCAGUCCUCAGGCUGCCCCGGCCCCCGGAGGCGGAGACAGACGCUGGGGAGACACCGCGCGGAGCCGCCACCGAGGGCGGGGACGAACGGGACCUCAGCGCCCACCUUCCACGGGGGCGGCCGCGGCUGGGCAGCCGCGCUCAGGGCGGGGGUCCCGGGCUCUGCUCAGAAUCAGCGGCCGACGCGGCGCGCGCUCAGGAGCAACCCGGUGGCCGCUCCGCCCCGGGAGCUGACGCUGCGCCGUCCGGCAGCUGGGGCCGCUCCCGGGGGCCGUUACCUUGUUGACGGCGGCGUGUUCCCUCAGCGCCAGGUCCCAGAAGCGGCAGCCGAUCUGGUUCCCGCACUGGCCCACUGCAAAUGGGGAGAAACACGGGAUGUUGUCCACUACCUUGACCUCUUAGGAGGAUGGAAGACUGCUCAGUGUCUUCAAACAGCGUCCCUUGGGCACAGAGAUGUCAAAUACAGAUGACCACACAAGGUGCCUUCUCUGCUUUCAAAUCAAGUAGGCUGUACCGGGGUUUUACAUCCCUUGCAGAUAUUACUCUGAGCACUGAAGUGUCCCAGAAAAACACUUACAAGAAUUCCUUCAAAGUUCUCACAAUUUCUAGAGAAGCUGGCCAAGACAGCUGAGUUUGCAUUAGUACUGGUCUAGGACUGUUCAGGGGCCCAACAUGAGAAAUAUAGAGAGAGUGGGAGGAGUUGAUCAGCGGGGCUGCUGGUAGGCAGGAAGCACUGGGGAGGUACGGGGGGAAGCUGACUGUCGGUGGGUGCUACACACCUAAUUUUUGUCCGCGGGUGCUCCAGCCCUGGAGCACCUAGGGAGUGAAUGCAUAUGAUUUUGUGCUGGACAAUUAAGUGAGUCAAAUGGACUCAUGAUUAAAAGCAAUUGCAUCAUAAUUCCAAAUGAUAUGAGAAGGGAAAUCCUAAACCUCAUCCAUGAGGGCCUUGAACAGGCUCACCAAUCAAUGUGAUGGCUGGGCAUCAGCCAGGACAUAAAGAAUAAAAUAUUUGCAUAUGAACAUUGCAGAACUAACAGACCAACAAAGCACAGAGCACCUUGAAUAACAACACCUGUAUCAGACAGACCUUGGAAGAGACUAUCUGAAGAUUUCAGAUAUGCGAAUUCAGAAGACAUCAUUACCAGGUCACUGUGGACUAUUUUUCCAGGAAUACAGAAAUAACCUACUUGGAAGAUAUAAAAUGUCACAGUGUUAUCGAGAAACCGAAGAACAGUUUUGCUCACUUUGGUAUUCCAGAACAACUAGUGAUGGAGAAUGGACCACAAUUUACUAAGCAGAAUUUAAGUCAUUCAGAACAAAAAUUAGACAAGCCAUUUACAACACACACUUUGCUUCUCUGCAAAGGAAAAAGGGCACUAAACUAUCUAAACCAGUGCUACUCAAAGUGGUGGUCCGCAGACCGGUGCCGGUCCGCGAGCCAUCGGCUGCCAGUCUGUGCGCACAUUGGAACCUAAACCUCCCCCACUGCAACUUGAGACCAUUACUCCUUGUCCUGUCCUCUUCUACCACUGAGAAUAGUCUAGAACCAUCCUCUCUGGAACCACCUCUCAGGUAGUUGAAAGCAGCUAUCAAAUCCCCCCUCAUUCUUCUCUUCUGUAUUAUUCUGUAUCUAUAUUAAAAAUAGUAAGUCCUGCUUCACCUCUUGCUAGGAUUCAAACUAUCACAUGGUGUCAGAUAAGAAAAUCACUAGAAAAGGGUUCCACAAAUUCACCUGGAAGUGGAAAGAAAUGGGUUCUAAUUUUUUUAUUGUUCCCAAAAAUCCUAUGGUCAGCAUACUCCCAUUUUAGCUGAGCAAAGAAUAAAUGAGCUCCAUGUAAAAGAAUCUUGCACACAAUUGUUUGCACAGUAAGUUUAUUAUCUAGCUUUAUUCUUUAAUGCAUAUUAGGAAUUCUUUUCAAGUUAAACCAAAGAUGGUGACCUAGGGCAUUUGUAUGGUAUGGAAUGAAGUGAUUUAAAGGUCUCUGGAAAGCAACAUAUUUAAAAUAAUUUGCUUUUAUUCUGUAAUCCAUCAGCAUUUUCAUUGACAGCGUAAUAGGGCUUGCUUCAAAGAUACUAUAAGAAUUGUAAAACUCGUUCUUGUGGUUUAAUAAGAGCAUUGUACAAAUUACAUCUCUUUGUUUAUUCUUCAUAUUUUUUGUUUUCACACAUAGAAAUUUCAAGUGAGUGACCCUAAACAUAACUGCUUUAUCAUAUAAAGACCCUGGGUGAUAUAUUUUCAUUUCCCCCCAGCAUCGGUAAUGGAAUAGAACAUGGUUUCUUUUGCUUGUUUUUUCCCUUCAGUGCUGUAAAAAAGUUUGCAGUGUUGCUGCUGUGCGGUAUCAGGCUGUUGGACAUGUGUUGAUGCUCACAGCACCACUGACCAGAGCUGCUUUACUGAAACUCACUGGCUUUCCAUCAAUCACAAAGUUACGAAUGCAGCCAGUGAAGGAAUUGCGUGUGGUCAGGCUAGACGUUAGAAGGGACUCUGGAAGAAUCAAAGAAAAAAGGAGAAUUAGAACCAAUGAUGACAGAAGUACCAUUUACAACAAUUUUAAAUAAAGCUGGCUGAAAACUGGGGAAAUGAUUUUGAAAAUAUUUUGAAGUUGUUUCUGUAUCGCAAGUUUGAAAUUGACCCAUUUUCUGUUUCUUGAAGCAGGAUACUUUUUACUGAAAUUAUUAAAAAAAAUCAUUUCUGAAAAAUUUCUUUUACCAAAACCAGAGUUUUCAGUAAGACCAGUUCCAGUUCUAGCAAAAUUCCAAGGGACCAAAUCUGGCUCUCUGGUACAUACAGGCAAUCUCAAAUAUUUUUAUUGUGCAGAUAGAUUUAAAAAGACACAAAAUCAGUAAAACAGUAAAACCUUAGAGAAGGUGCCACAAGUACUCCUUUUCUUUUUGCGGAUACAGACUAACACGGCUGCUACUCUGAAACUGGUAAAACAGUAUUAAUCAGUAUUAAUCAGGGGUCUCAAACUCCAUUUACCCUAGGGCCAGUGCCAGUCCUCAAAUCCUCCCAGCAAUAAUGUCACUCAUGGUGCCCAGAACUCACCCCCCAAAACUCCGCCCCCCACCUGCCUAAGGCUCUGGGAGGGAGUUUGGUGGGGGAGGAGGUCUAGGGUAGGGGAUUGGGGUGCAGGCUCGGGAGCGAGUUGGGGUGCAGGCUCGGGAGCGAGUUGGGGUGCUGGGUGCAGGCUCUGAGCUGAGGCAUGGGGUGGGGGUGCAGGAGGAGGGGGUGGGGUUGUAGGUUCUAGAAGGGAGUUUGGGGGUGAGAGGGGGUGUGUGGGAAGGGGGUGGGGUGCAGGCUCUGGGAAGGGUUCAGGGGGUGUGGUGCUUACCUGUGGCUCCAAGGUGGGGCAGGCCGGGGGGCUUCCACGUGCUGCUGCCCCCCAGACACCACCCCUGCAGCUUCCCAUUGGCCACAGGGGCGCUCAGGGCGGGGCAGCAUGUGGAGGCACAGCCCCGCCCCACCCUGGGGCCACAGGGAGAGGCCGGCAGACACAUGGAGCAAACAGGCAGAUGCCGCUCAGCUCUGCUGCGCUGCCAGGGCCCCAGGCCAUUUUAAAUGGGGGGGGAGGAGCGCUCGGGGGCGGCAGAUAGGGCCAAGAGAGAGACCCGGCUCUAAAACUGCUGGAGCCUCGCAGGCCACAUUGAGGAGGUUGGCGGGUUGCACAUGGCCCACGGGCCGUGAGUUUGAGACCCCCGGUAUUAAUAUUAAUACUUACCUUUUGUAUAGCUCUUUCCAUCAAUAGAUCUCAAAGCGGAUUACCAAGGAGGUUAGUAUCAUUAGCCCCUUUUUAUGGAUGGGGAAACUGAGACCUAGAGAUGUGAGACAACUCGCCCAAAUGGCCACUGGCAGAAUGGUGUCUAGACACCAGGUAUUCUGAGUCCCAGUGCAGUGUUCUAUUCACUAGGCCACCCUAUGAUAUAUCUUGGGUGUAGUCAGUACAACAAGAAAACUGGAAUAAGCCUAAUUCUACAGCAUGGUUUUGUAUGGGACUAUCAAUCAAUCAUGGUUUAUGAAAUGGCCUGAUUUAAUAGCAUUAGUAUUACAGCUGGU
Chelonia mydas (Green sea turtle) is the source of this 4064-nucleotide long non-coding RNA. RefSeq lists it as uncharacterized. The transcript is spliced from 2 exons. The record is from RefSeq and is a predicted model, not a curated record. NCBI's taxonomy places the organism in Eukaryota, Metazoa, Chordata, Testudines, Cheloniidae.